CUCUUUAGCUGGCAGACGAGAUACCACAGUCAAAAAGGUGGCUGUCUGGGUGAAGCUUGCCAGUUGUGUUCCAGGUGUACCAAACCCUGGCCACGUCCCCAGAUACAGCCCAACUGACUGCAUCAUUUGUGGUAUUAGGGACCUGUAUUCCUGCUUUCCUCC
Molecule: small nuclear RNA, 162 nt
Organism: Mastomys coucha (southern multimammate mouse)
Lineage: Eukaryota; Metazoa; Chordata; Mammalia; Rodentia; Muridae
Product: U1 spliceosomal RNA
Exons: 1
Source: RefSeq, a predicted model, not a curated record